ACCGAUGCUGGUGGACUAUCAAUCCCAGGGAUUCCAUGGGUUGGCACCGAUACUUGUGAACUGUCAAUCCCAUGGAUACCUUGGUCGGCACCAAUGCUAUUGGAUAAUCAAUCCUAAGGGUACCAUGGGUCAACACCAAUGCUGGUGGACCCUCAAUAUCAAAGGUUUCAUGGGUCGGCACAAAUGCUAGUGGACAAUCAAUCAUAG
This 207-nucleotide long non-coding RNA is filed under the name Mytilus galloprovincialis (Mediterranean mussel). The record is from RNAcentral. Lineage: Eukaryota; Metazoa; Mollusca; Bivalvia; Mytilida; Mytilidae.